UACGUAGGGUGCAAGCGUUGUCCGGAAUUAUUGGGCGUAAAGAGCUCGUAGGCGGUUUGUCGCGUCUGCUGUGAAAACUGGAGGCUCAACCUCCAGCCUGCAGUGGGUACGGGCAGACUAGAGUGCGGUAGGGGAGAUUGGAAUUCCUGGUGUAGCGGUGGAAUGCGCAGAUAUCAGGAGGAACACCGAUGGCGAAGGCAGAUCUCUGGGCCGUAACUGACGCUGAGGAGCGAAAGCAUGGGUAGCAAACAGG
This 253-nucleotide ribosomal RNA is filed under the name uncultured bacterium. RNAcentral describes it as "partial 16S ribosomal RNA". It matches the Rfam family "Bacterial small subunit ribosomal RNA", at positions 524 to 776 of the family's 1533-position model. The record is from RNAcentral.